This 902-nucleotide ribosomal RNA is filed under the name uncultured bacterium. Its description in RNAcentral is "bacterial SSU rRNA". It matches the Rfam family "Bacterial small subunit ribosomal RNA", at positions 62 to 939 of the family's 1533-position model. The record is from RNAcentral.
UCGAGCGCGAACGACCCCUUCGGGGGACUAGUAGAGCGGCGGACGGGUGAGUAAUACAUGGGUAAUCUGCCCUUGAGCUUGGGAUAACCCCGCGAAAGUGGGGCUAAUACCUGAUAAGACCACAUAACUUAAGUUACGUGGUAAAAGGUGGCCUGUAUUUAUACUGGCUAUCACUUGAGGAUGAGCCCGUGGCCUAUCAGCUUGUUGGUGAGGUAAGAGCUUACCAAGGCUAUGACGGGUAGCUGGUCUGAGAGGACGACCAGCCACACUGGGACUGAGACACGGCCCAGACUCCUACGGGAGGCAGCAGUGGGGAAUAUUGGGCAAUGGGCGAAAGCCUGACCUAGCGACGCCGCGUGGGUGAUGAAGGCCUUCGGGUUGUAAAGCCCUUUCGUGCGGAAAGAACAGUCCUGUGGUUAAUAUCCACGGGAUUUGACGGUACCGCAGGAAGAAGCACCGGCUAACUCCGUGCCAGCAGCCGCGGUAAUACGGAGGGUGCAAGCGUUGUUCGGAAUUAUUGGGCGUAAAGGGCGCGUAGGCGGUUGUGUAAGUCAGAUGUGAAAUACUUCGGCUUAACCGGAGAACUGCAUUUGAAACUGCAUAACUAGAGUACAGGAGAGGGAAAUGGAAUUCCCGGUGUAGAGGUGAAAUUCGUAGAUAUCGGGAGGAACACCAGUGGCGAAGGCGAUUUCCUGGCCUGAUACUGACGCUGAGGCGCGAAAGCGUGGGGAGCGAACGGGAUUAGAUACCCCGGUAGUCCACGCUGUAAACGAUGCAUACUAGGCAUUGGGAGUAUCGACCCUCCUUGUGCCGAAGCUAACGCGUUAAGUAUGCCGCCUGGGGAGUACGGCCGCAAGGCUAAACUCAAGGAAUUGGCGGGGACUCGCACAAGCGGUGGAGCG